AUCAGUCUUGAACUGUUCUUCGAAGCAACCAUUCGCUCUGAGCACGCGUUCUUUAUAUUUGACAAAAUUUAGAAUUUUUCAUCGAUGGAAGACCAACAAGGAUGCUGGUGAAUCGAUGAUAACUGAGCAGCUCUUGCACUUGAGAAUUUAUUUUCAAAAAUCAAUGGAGCUGUCUUGAAAUUUGAACAGGGCACCGCCACCUUGAAGUUUGGCCACCAGAUCCACGGCUAACAUAACCGCGUGCCACAUCGGAUGUUGAUCGAUUCUGGAAGCUGCGAUCGCGAGGAUCCGUCCAUCUUCGGGAUCAACGAUCACCGCGCUACCAUUGCAAUGCUCGUCGCCAAUGGCUUCUAAUUUGGCGGCUUCUAUGGCAACGUUCAUGUACCUUUCUAUCAGAUCCAAUUGCUGAUCCGUGAACACGGAUCCAUCGAUCAGACAUUCGAUGUUAGGAUCUGGAUGAAAAUUCAGAGGCCAAAUCUUCGUGGCUCUCGCUGCCUGUGCUUUCGUCCUCGCGGCUCUGGAUGGCACUUUCAACACCUGGAAAUCUUCUUCCAGCAAGGAUAAAUCAAAGCCUUUCUCCUUCAACAUCGUUUUCAACUUGUCUGAAGUUAAAGUAUGUUCUGAUGAAUGUAACGGUGCCAGGAGAAGCUUGUUCGAUGAACAGCGUUUCAGAUGAUGAAAACCCGGCAGAAUGGAUGAUACUGUUUGAAUAGCUGUUGAUGUAUUCUGUUUCUGCUUUAACAGACCCACGUAGACCUCUUCCAAGAUCGGAUCGUCCGUGAACUCCGAGCUCAAUAUCGGCCUUGCUAUCCAACUUCUAGUCCUGGCUUCUACUUUGCUCUCCUUGGAACAUUUCGGCGAGGUGAUCGCCAUUUUCCCUGAAAACACGGUGCCUUCACUUUUCCUCGAACCAUCUAAGAAACUGUCUCUUCCUCCGAGUCUAAACGAGCGUUUCGGAAGGCACAGUAAUUUGCCGCUAAUUGCCGAUUUUCGUCGACGUAUGUACACGUUGUGGGCGAGCAACGAUUACUUGUUUAACAUAAUUGUAAAUGGGCCUAGCAAUAACUGCUUAAAUAAUCAUAACGUCGGAACAAUAACGCGAGUUGCUGUAUGGAGAACGGAUAUCCCGUGGAUAAUUCGAUCGGCGGACGAGUCGUGUCAAUUCUGUUGCUCGUUCGGGAAAAAAAGAAGAAGAAGGCGGAAGAACGUCUAGGAUGGGUGCGAUUCGUGGGAGAAUCGGUACUCGGUGGCGGUGCACUUGGUACGGCUCACAGGAGGAGAAGCGAUUUUAAAUUGCUGUCAAGUUGGGCCACGGUCGGAUCGAUUGUCGGAGUUAGACGCAAUUGUACGACGUCGAUCCGCGAACAGAAGAAAUAAGACCCUUGUUACCAGGCCGCGACAGAGUCCUGAUCCUGCCGAAGACGCGAUCGCUUUCGAAUUUCUGUUGGAAACGCGUGGACCGGAAUGGUAAUGAUAUCGUCAGCCGAAUAUUGUGAAAUCAGGUAUUUCUCUGAUUUCAUGGCUGCUGCUGUUGGCACGGCUCGUCGUUUGGAUCUUCGAGUGACCCACAAAACACUCGAAACCUGGCUGUUGCCUUUCCAUAUAUUAUCCAGAGUGUAUGCUAAUGGAAAACUGACGAGAAAUCACGCAAAAUAUUUGUCAACGCCGAGCGCGAUUGCCAGGUAAACGAGAUACCGCGUUAAGUAGGUCUCAUCGAGAGGAGCCUCUCGACAUGCUUUGGAAAUACCAUUUUCUUUCCUCAAAAUUAAGAUUAUUGCAAUAUUUUACGACUUGGUUAUUCCGGAAGUGAAUAAAAAGAUGAUUGUUACGGACGCGUUUUGCAGUAACGAAAACGUGAUUCGUUAGUACCGACGGGGAAGUCGCAUCUUAAAGCAUAUUAACGGUCAGCGGGAGGAAAAUAUGCCAUGGUCGGAUGAUCUGUGAAUGGAUAAAUGAGUGGACAGGACAGAUUAAAUUAUAAAACGUUCAUAGCGUAAUAGCGUGCCGCGAAUACGAGGUUAUUGUUAAAGAUGGUCAUUAGGCGAAUGAUAAUUUUAUUAUUCAUUAACGGUGAAAGAAGUUGACAAUCCAGUGAGAACUUGUUCAAAAGAUGUACUCGAAAAAACAACGCGAUUAAGUAGUCUGGAAAUUUUCAAGUUCAAUUUAAUACGCAUUUCGAUAUAUAUUCUCGUUUUAUCGUGGAAAAUCUUGCGCCUACGUGUGUGAACAAACAUAAAGUAUAAGAAACGUUUAUUUAAAGUUCAAACAGUUCAAAAAGUUAGUUAAGAUCGAUCGUAAUACGAGAGGAGUGACGUUCGAUGGCUAGUCAAACUUCGCGGGUCGAUUACGUCAGCAACAUGGCGGCGACACAUUCGUGCGAAGCGUGUUCCUUAUAUAACAGAAAAGGAACAACAAGCGGGCUUGUGUGACGCAGAACGCGCAAACGUAAACUCGUCAGGCGAAUGUACUCGACAAUCGGGACGAACGAUGGAGUUUAUACGCACAAACAAACGCCUUCCGAUCGAUCGGAAAAUCGCAAUUGUCCGUGAUACAGGGCGGCCCGUUUUUUUCACGGGUUCUGUUCACGUGCCAAUAUGUCUUCCCUGGCCUUGAAUCGAAACAUGACACGCGUGUCCCGCAUCUCUGGCGCCUUUCAAACAAAACAAACGGUCUCGAUCACAAAACACGUAUCGUGUUGCGGAAAAAGUGAUACGAUUACGACACUAGGAUACGCGUGCAUGAAUUUUUUACGAAUAGCAGCGAAAAAAUUCAUGAAAAUUCUUACCUGCUGCUCGUAAGAGUGGCACGUUCUUCUUACGUCUGCUUUCGCGCUGUUUCUUCAACAACACAACGAAUAAAGCGAUCCCUGUCAGCCACACCUUGCACACCUUUUUGAUACUUUCCACUUGAUCCACGACACACGGAAACGCACGUGAAGAUAUCCGCGGAGAUGAAACGUUUACAGGAGGUGGACUGUGUAUACCUUUGGCGAUUACCAGUUAUCGGCGCUGCGCUUGCGCCCUCUGGCGGCAAUUUCAGUAAGCUCGCAACUGGAGGAAGGGAAGCACGACUACGGAACGUUCCUGUUAUUUUCUUUUUUUCACGGGAAUACAUUUUUCGAUUCCGUUAAAGUUUGUUGUAUCAAUUAACCAACAUCUUUGCAAACAACAAGAGUUGAAAACUGAAACGUGUCACACGAUAAAUCAACCGUAUACUACGAGAAAGGAUACACUACUGUCAAUGGUCGUGACAUUGAUGGGAUAGAUCGAUUUUAGCUGAUGAAAUUUGGCGCGAAAUCGUUUGGAUGACGUAACUGGUUGGGCGGCCAUCUUUGUACACAGUACGAAGCCAGUUCGAAAACAGAUUUC
Long non-coding RNA from Osmia lignaria (orchard mason bee), 3368 nucleotides. RefSeq lists it as uncharacterized. The record is from RefSeq and is a predicted model, not a curated record. Lineage: Eukaryota; Metazoa; Arthropoda; Insecta; Hymenoptera; Megachilidae.